AUUGAACGCUGGCGGCAUGCUUUACACAUGCAAGUCGAACGGUAACAGGCCGCAAGGUGCUGACGAGUGGCGAACGGGUGAGUAAUGCAUCGGAACGUGCCCAGUCGUCGGGGAUAACGCAGCGAAAGCUGUGCUAAUACCGCAUACGUUGUAUGGAUGAAAGCGGGGGACCGUAAGGCUCCGCGCGAUUGGAGCGGCCGAUGUCGGAUUAGGUAGUUGGUGGGGUAAAGGCUCACCAAGCAAACGAUCUGUAGCUGGUCUGAGAGGACGACCAGCCACACUGGGACUGAGACACGGCCCAGACUCCUACGGGAGGCAGCAGUGGGGAAUUUUGGACAAUGGGCGCAAGCCUGAUCCAGCAAUGCCGCGUGCAGGAAGAAGGCCUUCGGGUUGUAAACUGCUUUUGUACGGAACGAAACGGCGAGCUCUAAUACAGUUUGCUAAUGACGGUACCGUAAGAAUAAGCACCGGCUAACUACGUGCCAGCCGCCGCCGUAA
Molecule: ribosomal RNA, 498 nt
Filed under: uncultured bacterium
Lineage: Bacteria
Description: partial 16S ribosomal RNA
Rfam family: Bacterial small subunit ribosomal RNA
Source: RNAcentral